GGCACGGACUCUGGGACGCGGACCGUGAAUGCCCCCCUCCAAUUCUGCCACCUCCCCGGCCCUCCGCCGCCGCCGCCGCCCUCCUCGCCUCCGGCGUCCGGGCGCGGCCGCCGCGCUCGAGGCCUUCCUCCCUCACCACGUGGCACAUGGACGAAGUCAAAAAAGAUGCACCGGUGGCCAUCGCUACUACACCGGUGGCCAUCGCUACUACUGUGGCGCCCCGCCGCACCUUGAUCCUGAGGAUCGACAGAAUGGUAUACCUCUACUUUGACGUACAGCUACAUGUUCGAUGCUGAGGGAACCAUCAUCCUGCCGAGUGCUGAGGCAUCGCUGUAUCAAUUCGUCACAGAAUCGAUCCAUCAAAGUCACAUGGUACCAAUGCUCCUCUCAGUGUCAACGUUAGUACAAUCUUGCAUAUUGUUCUCUGUUUUAUUCGCAGUACACAGUUCUAGUGCCACUACGCCACUGAUAAGGGCCUGCAUAAAGGUGAUUCUUUGCAAAACAGUGGUAUCAACUCUGAGAUUUAGGCCAUUUGCUCAAGUACAAAUCGUAUCUGAAAACUUCAUGAUCACUCUAUUAGUUUUUGUGCUUUAGUUCGGUCUGUGGUUAUUGCUGUAUGGAUUUUUUUUCUUCAUAUUCUGUUUGUCUUUCUCCUUAUCCUUGCAGAUGCAUGCUUCUGUGUCAACUACACACUUGAAUGCUGAGAUGCAAUCCUUCUUUGAACAAAAUGUGGCUCUGAAAAUAUCAUGCCUCUUUCACCGAAAACAUUGGGCUUCUUGAAAGAACAAAGCAAAGAGAGAAGCAUCCAAAUCAACACAGCUCAUCAAAAGAGGAUUUUCUGAAGGUGAAGAUGAAAGGAUGAUAGAGUCAGUCUCUUAGACUCAUAUCAUAGGAGCCGCGAAUGAUAACAUCCUUGCUGAGUGCCUCUUGCGAAGUUGAGGAGUCAAGAACUAAGCAAACACCAAAAAGAAUCAAAGGAUUCUGGAGCAAUGGAGAUUGCUCUACAAAACACUAGCCUUUUCUCUCUCCUUCCUUUCUUUUCCAGGUGGGAACUAUCAAGGCAGAUAUAAGGGAUAAGAAUAUCUCUAUCCAAAUAUGCAAUCUUUCAUGCUUGUGCCGGUUGUUUGCGUCAUGUACAAAAAAAAGUUGAAAAAAACUAGAGAAAAGAUCAGAUAAUAAUAUAUCUGACUUUCUUCAGAUGCCUGCAGCAUCAUACAGGGAAGGAUGCAGCAAAGGAUAUGAAAAAGCAAAGAUUGCAGCGUCGGAUCGUGGCAUCGCAAUGCCUCACAUCUGGUAAGGUCAGCCUGGUUUACAAAGCAGAGGCAGUUCAAUUUGCUGAGAAAAGCCGAGGGCAAGUUGGCCAGAUUCCACGCCACAGAUAAGGCCGGUCAGUGAGGCGAUGAGGGUUGGCUGGCUAUUUUGGAUGCUAUUCUGAAACCGGCUGAGGGGAUUGAUCCCUGGUUCGUUUGAAACUGGCUCGUUCAGCCGGUCGGAAUUGGUUCUAUGUGUCGUAUGACAAAGUAGUGGCCGUACCAUACUGGUAUGGCACAUCAUUGCUACGACAGACACAUUUUCUGUAUAGGAAGGGUGUGCAUGGAGCAAUAGCAUCUGUGGUAUUUUUCAGGCUGAGGUAGGCACUGCAUGCAAUGUGUCCUGUCGCAGGUGGAGAAUGCAUAUGAAUUCUGGUCUAUGCAAGGUCGUGUGCAUCCAUUUAUCUGUAUACUAUAUGCUGGUUAAUUGAGAGAGAAAUUUUUUUUAAAUGUAAGCCCCAUUUCAAACAGGGAAAUAUUCUUGAAAAAUCCUAAUAUUCCAAACA
Setaria italica (foxtail millet) is the source of this 1816-nucleotide long non-coding RNA. RefSeq lists it as uncharacterized. Lineage: Eukaryota; Viridiplantae; Streptophyta; Magnoliopsida; Poales; Poaceae. The record is from RefSeq and is a predicted model, not a curated record. The transcript has 4 exons.